Molecule: long non-coding RNA, 387 nt
Organism: Phyllostomus hastatus (greater spear-nosed bat)
Lineage: Eukaryota; Metazoa; Chordata; Mammalia; Chiroptera; Phyllostomidae
Exons: 4
Source: RefSeq, a predicted model, not a curated record
CGGAGCAGGGGUGGAAAGACUGUGGGCAUGAGAUGACCUGUUCCAACACAAGUUUUCCAACAGGAGGUCAAGAUUCCUAUGAACUAAAUUAUAACAUAGGGCUGCAGAGCUGAUGCAUGCCUAAGUAAUGGAACCACAUCUGGCAAAGUGGUUGCAGUUGGAGUUACCUCCUGGUUAAGCUGAAAAUAAUCCAUUGUCAUUCUCCAAGAUCCAUCUCCCUUCAGCACAGGCCAAACAGAUGGGAAGUGAUGCCUAUAGGAGGUGGAUGCAUCCAAUCAAGAACCAGUGUUUAUAAAGUGCCUACACAUUUCUUAAUGGUUCUUGACCAUCAUGGUCUUUUCUUGGGAGAAGGGAUGUUACACAUCCUAUGGGAUUCUGAUAAAAAAU